AUUGAACGCUGGCGGCAGGCCUAACACAUGCAAGUCGAACGGUAACAGGAAGCAGCUUGCUGCUUCGCUGACGAGUGGCGGACGGGUGAGUAAUGUCUGGGAAGCUGCCUGAUGGAGGGGGAUAACUACUGGAAACGGUAGCUAAUACCGCAUAAUGUCGCAAGACCAAAGAGGGGGACCUUCGGGCCUCUUGCCAUCGGAUGUGCCCAGAUGGGAUUAGCUUGUUGGUGGGGUAACGGCCCACCAAGGCGACGAUCCCUAGCUGGUCUGAGAGGAUGACCAGCCACACUGGAACUGAGACACGGUCCAGACUCCUACGAGAGUCAGCAGUGGGGAAUAUUGCACAAUGGGCGCAAGCCUGAUGCAGCCAUGCCGCGUGUAUGAAGAAGGCCUUCGGGUUGUAAAGUACUUUCAGCGGGGAGGAAGGGAGUAAAGUUAAUACCUUUGCUCAUUGACGUUACCCGCAGAAGAAGCACCGGCUAACUCCGUG
This 490-nucleotide ribosomal RNA is filed under the name uncultured bacterium. Its description in RNAcentral is "partial 16S ribosomal RNA". It matches the Rfam family "Bacterial small subunit ribosomal RNA", at positions 30 to 507 of the family's 1533-position model. The record is from RNAcentral.